GACGAACGCUGGCGGCGUGCUUAACACAUGCAAGUCGAACGGAAAGGCCCUGCUUUUGUGGGGUGCUCGAGUGGCGAACGGGUGAGUAACACGUGAGUAACCUGCCCUUGACUUUGGGAUAACUUCAGGAAACUGGGGCUAAUACCGGAUAGGAGCUCCUGCUGCAUGGUGGGGGUUGGAAAGUUUCGGCGGUUGGGGAUGGACUCGCGGCUUAUCAGCUUGUUGGUGGGGUAGUGGCUUACCAAGGUUUUGACGGGUAGCCGGCCUGAGAGGGUGACCGGCCACAUUGGGACUGAGGUACGGCCCAGACUCCUACGGGAGGCAGCAGUGGGGAAUAUUGCACAAUGGGCGGAAGCCUGAUGCAGCAACGCCGCGUGCGGGAUGACGGCCUUCGGGUUGUAAACCGCUUUCGCCUGUGACGAAGCGUGAGUGACGGUAAUGGGUAAAGAAGCACCGGCUAACUACGUG
Molecule: ribosomal RNA, 468 nt
Filed under: uncultured bacterium
Lineage: Bacteria
Description: partial 16S ribosomal RNA
Rfam family: Bacterial small subunit ribosomal RNA
Source: RNAcentral